CAGCCGCCACGGGAAUACGAAGGGGGCUAGCGUUGUUCGGAAUUACUGGGCGUAAAGCGCAUGUAGGCGGAUAUUUAAGUCAGGGGUGAAAUCCCGCAGCUCAACUGCGGAACUGCCUUUGAUACUGGGUAUCUUGAGUAUGGAAGAGGUGAGUGGAAUUCCGAGUGUAGAGGUGAAAUUCGUAGAUAUUCGGAGGAACACCAGUGGCGAAGGCGGCUCACUGGUCCAUUACUGACGCUGAUGCACGAAAGCUAGGGGAGCAAACAGGAUUAGAUACCCGCGUAGUCCCUGUCUCUUAUAA
Molecule: ribosomal RNA, 301 nt
Filed under: uncultured bacterium
Lineage: Bacteria
Description: partial 16S ribosomal RNA
Rfam family: Bacterial small subunit ribosomal RNA
Source: RNAcentral